Long non-coding RNA from Anolis carolinensis (green anole), 2137 nucleotides. RefSeq lists it as uncharacterized. The record is from RefSeq and is a predicted model, not a curated record. Lineage: Eukaryota; Metazoa; Chordata; Lepidosauria; Squamata; Anolidae. The transcript is spliced from 2 exons.
CAGAGAGAUUCUGCAAUGCAGACUCCUCUGCUCCUGACAAGCCAGGCUGGCUGGCUCUAGGCACUUGGGCCCAAAAUACAAAGAGAAUCCUCCACCUGCAGCAGUCGUGAGAGCGCCUUGAUCACAGGCUUCGGCUUUUUCGGGGUUCCUUGGAAGAUUUGAGAAGGAGAGGGGGAGAAACAGCACCACGACGCCCACAGCGAGCCAUCUCUGCUCCCCGCAGAAGAGAGCGACGCUUUUGAUGCGGAAUUUUCUUCCAUUGGAGUCUGUCUGUUAGUGUCACCUCCAGUGGCCCGAUACCUGAUUUGUUCCCAUUUGCAGCUGUUUUCCUGGAAACGUGUAGUCGAAGGCUUUCAUGGCCGGAAUCUCUGGGUUGCUGUGAGUGUUCCUUGAUGGUAGUACUUCCUUAUUCCUUUCUGUAUGCUGCUGGCAAAUUUUAUGAUGUCGUAAAUUACUUUAUAUACUCUAGUUUUUCAGCCCUUUUUUAAAAACUGAAAAAGCCCCCCUUGGCCUAUACUCAAGUGAGGGUCCUGGUGGGCUUAUAUUUGGCGUGUGGAUUCCGGGGAGUGAUUUCAGGACUGUCCGGGUGUUGCUAAACAUUGUUUCUGGGCAUCGCUGCCCUCAUCCCAGUGAUAGGACUGGUGCUAACUGGUUGCCGUCAUGCUAAUUCACCCUUAGUUUUAAAAAAGAGGACCAAGAUGCAAAAAGUAGUCAGAUGUAUGGAUCCAGCACCACGGACAGCGCUUUUAAACUCAGUCCUUACUUGGCUAUGGGCCUCAACAAAACUACAGUAGAGUCUCACUUAUCCAACAUAAACGGGCCAGCAGAACGUUGGAUAGGCUAAUAUGUUGGAUAAUAAGGAGAGAUUAAGGAAAAGCCUAUUAAACAUUAAAUUAGGUUAUGAUUUUACAAAUUAAGCACCAAAACAUCAUGUUAGACAACAAAUUUGGCAGAAAAAGUAGUUCAAUACGCAGUAAUGCUAUGUAGUAAUUACUGUAUUUACAAAUUUAGUACCAAAAUAUCACGAUAUAUUGAAAACAUUGACUACAAAAAUGUGUUGGAUUAUCCAGAACGUUGGAUAAGCGAGUGUUGGAUAAGUGAGACUCUACUGUAGUACUUCCUUAUUCCUUUCUGUAUGCUGCUGGCAAAUUUUAUGACGUCGUAAAUCACUUUAUAUACUCGAGUAUAAGCCUAGUUUUUCAGCCCUUUUUUUAAGACUGAAAAAGCCCCCCUUGGCUUAUACUCGAGUGUCCUGGUGGGCUUAUAUUUGGCGUGUGGAUUCCGGGGAGUGAUUUCAGGACUGUCCGGGUGUUGCUAAACAUUGUUUCUGGGCAUUGCUGCCCUCAUCCCAGUGAUAGGACUGGUGCUAACUGGUUGCCGUCAUGGUAAUUCACCCUUAGUUUUAAAAAAGAGGACCAAGAUGCAAUAAGUAGUCAGAUGUAUGGAUCCAGCACCACGGACAGCACUUUUAAACUCAGUCCUUACUUGGCUAUAGGCCUCAACAAAACUACAGUAGAGUCUCACUUAUCCAACAUAAACGGGCCGGCAGAACAUUGGAUAAGCGAAUAUGUUGGAUAAUAAGGAGGGAUUAAGGAAAAGCCUAUUAAACAUCAAAUUAAGUUAUGAUUUUUAUAAAUUAAGCACCAAAACAUCAGGUUAUACAACAAAUUUGGCAGAAAAAGUAGUUCAAUACAUGGUAAUGCUAUGUAGUAAUUACUGUAUUUACGAAUUUAGUACCAAAAUAUCACGAUAUAUUAAAAACAUUGUCUACAAAAAUGUGUUGGAUAAUCCAGAAUGUUGGAUAAGCGAGUGUUGGAUAAGUGAGACUCUACUGUAAUAUUCAUGGUCUAGAAAACUAAAGAAGAGGACCAAGAUGCAAAAAGUAGUCAGAUGUAUGGAUCCAGCACCAUGGACAGCUCUUUUAAACUCAGCACUUACUUGGCUAUAUGCCAAUGAUGGGCAACCUUUUGCGCUUGGUGUGUCAAAAUUCACCAAAAAAACCUAGCAUGACUUGGGUGGUGUGUCACUUCGAGAAAAAAAACCAUAAUUUCACAAUAUGUAUAGUUUAAAUAACAAAAAAUGUAUAAUUGUAAUAUAUAACUGUAUUGAAUAAAUCAAAAACUAUUUACGACCAUUA